UGAGUGAGACUUUUAUUUUACUGAAGAUACCUCAUUUCUGAAUUAGAAUAACACCAAGUGCUAAAACAAAUAGCUUCAAAAUACACGAAAAUUGAAACAUAGUGGCAGCUAUAUCUUCUGUGGAUACCAGUCUGACUGUUUCUUGUCUCUGAGAGACUCGAUGUCAUGGAGUGACACAUGGACCCAGGCUCCUUCUAUUUUGUGUCUUCUCCACCUUAGAUAAUGUGGCAGUUGUCUGUUCUAUACAAGAAAUGGGGGGUGGUAGAUGAAAUACAUGCUCUUCUUUAAAAAAAAAAAAAAAACUUGGCUGGAAAUGGCACAAAUAAAUUCAUCUAAUCUCUGCAAUCGAAUGUCUCAUGGACUCAUCUAGAUGUAAGAUAAACUGGAAAAUGCAAAAAACUGGCUCAGCAAUCACUUAGCAAUGACAAGCCUUUUCUGUAAAAGGAGGAAUAUUGUAUUUGGGGAGUAUCCAAAGAUCUCUACCACAACAUGGUAUUGCUGCCAAUUUUCCUCCUUAAUAUUGUACUGUGUUUUCCCGUGUCAAAAACAAUUUUGCUUUCAAAAGAUAUUAUUUUUCAAAAUGUCCACCCUUGCACUAUGACUUAAAUUCCCCCUUUUUACACAUUUCUUAUUUCCUUUACAUUUUAUUUUUAAAGUUUCAUUAUAUGCUUUGUUAUCAUUAACAUAUUGAGAAAAAAGUUAGAUAUUAGUUGGAUAUUAAAAAUCUAAUUUCCUCUAAAUCUUAAGGGUAGUAAAUGUGGUAGUACUAAUAGUUGUUUAUGUUUUUUGAUUGACACUGACUUCCAGAAAGAUUAGGCUUAUUACAUCAGUGAGUGAUACUAUCAAAUAAACCUCACCUUUACCAGUUCUUGGUAUUACCACAGUAAUGAAAUGUCAGUUUGAUAUAUAGAACAUAAUUAUAUAUCAUUGGCUUAUAUAAGCAUCUGUAAAAUUGUAGAGAGGUGAGUCAAGGCAGCUGUGCUUCUCCUUUUCUUUUUCUCCCUCCAUCAUUCCUUCUAGCUAUUGCUCGAGGAUCAGUAAACACCUUGCAAAAUAAGACACAAAGGGUUUUUGUUUGCGGGGGCGGGAGGGGGGGCGGAGACAGAUAAAGUAACAUGUAUGCAUUUGUCUGUGAGUUAUAUGAUUUGUAUUUAUCUGUUCAGUUUAAAACUUAUAUUAGAAGAAAUGCUGUCAGGUUGGCAUUUGGCCUAAAUAUUGAGGGAGACUUAGGCUUCAAAGUUUUACCCUUUAGGUACAAGGACAGUUUUGCAUCAGAAAUUCGUUCACAUGACCAAGGACAACACUUUCCUUUUUUUCAUGAAAGCAUCAAUUUUUAUACAUUCAAACCCCUGAGGUAAAAAUUAGCCACAUCUCACAGCUGAUCCAGGUUUUCCUAUUAUAGUUCAUCUUCCAGGAACAACAGCUAUGUUUUUGAAAUUUCUCCUGCCUGUAGAUCAUAGCUAUCCUUUCAUAGGAAAUAAAGGAAUCCUUUCCACUACACCCCCUGCUCCCCUCAUUCUCCAGUAACGUUCUUAGGAAAGUGUGUUUCUUAUUCUUAUAUGGAAAAUGCAGUUGCCAUUUUCCAUAUGAACUUUAACUCCAUAGCUCUACUAGCAGAGAAGGAUGGGAAAAACGGCCUUCUGUUUCUUUCUUCAAACAUACAAGGUUUAUUCCCAUUGUUGGAUCUUUGCAUUUACAAUCUGUUCUCCCUCAAAAACUACUAAUGCCCUCCACACACCAUCAAUGUAGUAUAGCUCUCUCCUUCUUAUCAUUAGGGGUUCAGCUAAAACCCAUCUAAAUUAAGUCUAUCUUGCCCAUUUCUGCACAUGGCACCAUCUUAUUUUCUUCAUAAGAUUUAUCACCAGCUGGCACUAUCUUAACAGUUAUCAUAAUAGUUUAAGUAUCACCAGGAUAGAAAUUUUGGUCUAUUUUGUUCCCUGCUCUAACUCUAAUGCCUAGAAUAGAACCUAAUAAUAAAAGAAUGCUGAGUGAAUUAUUGGGAUUUAGUAAAUCGACUAAGAGAGGACUGAGGUCUCUAGGAUGGGUUCCUUUGGGAUAUGGCAUUAAAAUACACUCUACAUUUGUGUAUUGUUUUAGAAAUGACAAAACUCAUUCACAUGCAUCGCUCAUUAGGAAGUAAAGAAUCAGUGGGACACUGAAUGCAGAUUUGAGGGAGUGGCUCCAUGGGACUCAGGCGAUACAUGUUCUCAGAUUCUCUCAGCUCGCCCUUUCCUGUGUUCAUGUGUAGACACAUGCACACCACACACAGACAUAUUUGCUACCUCAGCAUUAGACACUCAUUCUACCAGGUAGCUUAUUUAUUGAGACCACUGGCCAUCUCAGCAGCCGCAGUAGGAGGGCCAGGGUUGAUGACCAUCGUUGUACCUUUCCAGGGAAAAGCUGCAAGGGCUCCAGCUCCACUAUCCACCCCUAUGAAGUGAUAGCUACUCCCUCCACCCUUGGUUUCAGGUGAAGAACUAAACAAGGGGGCAGAGGAAGUGAAUUUCCCAGGGACAAUCCUGAAGGGAUCAGGUUGCCAAGACCCCAAAUUUGGGAAUGUUAAUUCCCUGAGGUCCAUGAGUUUCCAAAGAUGGGGAGCAGCUGAAAGAUACAUUCUUCUUGUGUGCUUUGCCCAAUAGACCGUGAGGCACAGCAUGAUGCCAUACACAGCUGAAGUUGUCUUGAUGUGGUGAAGGCAAUAAUGGACCACUCUGCCCUUGCAGGCACCUUGUCCUCUGAAUUUCCCUCUUAUUUUUACCAGCCCGGAGUUAUAAUCUAGACCCUAUUUUACCUGAAGCUUUACCUCAGUGUCUCCCACCCCACCAGGAAAUCUGGGCUAAAAAGCUGAUCCUUGACUUUUCAAAGCACUCGAAAUUGUAUUUUUCCCCCUUCCAAUUCAUGUUAUAGUAUGCUUUAAUGGAACAAUCACAGUGACUUAAUUUUCUGUUGAAUUGGAAGAGAACAGAAUAUGUUAAACCAAAAUUGAAGCCCAAUUACCAAGAUCCUGUGUCUUGAACAAUGCCCAAGCUACCCUGGAAGAGAUUUUUUUUUUUUUAAAUGAGCUGAAUUUGGAAAAAGGUUGUGUUACUGUGUUGCAUAUAUCUCUAAAAUGUGCUCUUUUCUAAAAAUAUUUUCAAUAUACUUAGUAUUGAUUAAGUAUUGACUUAGUAUUGAUUAAGGAAAGUUUUGGGGUUUAGGGAGACAUGGUUUCGAAUAUCAGGAAUUUUAUUCUUUCAUAAUCUCUUAGACAGGAAGUUCAUAAACUUGUUCCCUUCUCACUGUUAUCCACAUUUUAAUGAAAAUGACAUAACUGCCUAGCUUCACUAUUAUGAGAUUUCAAUUAGAUGGUAGACAUAAACCAUUUAUCAUAGUUUCUAGUUCUUAUACUAAGAGAAGACUCUUUUUACCCAUGUGGAAAGUUUGGUUAUCUUAAAAUUGCUCCUCUCACAGGAUCUGAAGUGGCACUUUGGCCCUGCUAUCAUUUAGGAUACAACUUAGAAUCUGUACUUUCAUUCCUGAUAUGAUAGAGAAGUUGGGAAUUUGGAGGGUGUGUUACAAAAGGGUGAGAGAUCAUGGAGAUUUGGUGUAGGAGAUAAGACGAAGAAAGUCCAAAGGAAUGGAGAUUAUUUUUUUCUUUGCUGAAUCUUUUAUAGGACCUUGCUCAUUAAGAAGCAGGUACUGGUCACAAGGAAAAGGGCACAGGAGAGUCCCUAUCGUGGCUCAGAGGUUAAAGAACCAACUAGUAUCCAUGAGGACGUGGGUUCGAUCCUUCAUCUUGUUCAGUAGGUUAAGGAUUCGGCGUUGCUGUGAGCUGUGGUGUAGGUUGCUGACACAGCUCGGAUCCCAUGUUGCUGUGGCUGUGGUGUAGGCUGGCGGCUGUAGCUCCGAUUUGACGCCUAUCCUGGGAACCUCCAUAUGCUGCAGAUGCAGCCCUAAAAAGUCAAAAAGACCCCCCCCCCCAAAAAAAAAGGAAGAAAGAAAAGAGCCUAGGAAAAUCUGCUCUGUCAGCCUUUCCAUAAUCCCCUAUUAUUUCUCUUAGGGUGGUAAGAUUCUGCCAAAAAACCCCAAAUAGGAAACCCCCAAGUGCAAUUUCUUAAUAAUCACAUGAAUAAUUAUUUUAUACAUUAUUUUGACUUCAAGUUGAUAAUGAUUCAAGACAGCUAAUGAAAAUGUAAAGGAUUUCAAGGUAACAAUCUUUAUCAAUAAGGUAAAAAUACUUCGCUGUAGAAAGUAGAAUGCUAUGUUAGAAGUUUAUCAGCUUUCAUUGUGUAUGGGGAUCAAGGUCUGACCUGUCUCAUUUUGUAGAAAUAAAGGAAGACAACUCAACUAAGAGCAAAUAAAGGAAACUGUUUAUUCAGAGCUUACUAUACAGUAAGGGAAUUAAGGGUGUCAAUUACCAGCACUUGAGCUUGGUAGAGACCCCAAAUCAGGCAGGGAUGUGGGAGAGCUUUAUGGUAGAAAAUGGGGAAGGGCUCAGGUAUUCUUUGGUUGCAAGUUGUGGGCUUGGGGAAGCCGAAGGUGGACCAACUACAUGAGGCAGAUGAUGUGACUGGCUUAGGGGAUGUAUUUGGCUUUCUCUCGUUGGUCUUGUGUUGAAAGCAGAGGUGAAAAUAGGGACUUUGGAACUUAUAGCUAAGAGUUAACCAUUCCAGGUUGAUUGUAAAGAAGUGGUGGCUUUGCCUUCUGGUACAGUUGUUGCAGAGAUUGUGGGUCAGAGUUCUGUUGUCAAGUAUGAUCUGGCCAUUGUCUGCAUUUUCAGUUUCGAAAGAGCCUUUUUCCAUGAGGGAGGAACGUGGGCCCAUACUGCUAGUCAUCUUUCACUUUCUGUCUUCAUGACCUUCAGUCAUUUUAUAAUUAACAGAAACAUGAGAUUGUUAACUUUGGUAAUAUCUCUGCAUGGUUUAAAGGCUUAAAACUUUUGCUCCAAUAAAUUGAAAACUUAGAAAUCUCUGUUUUGGAAAGGGAUGAGGGGAGAGGGUGAGGAGUGAUGGGAAGAGCCAAAGGCAGUUUCACUCACUCUUAAAAAAAUGUCUUUUUCUCUGUGUAGAGGAAGCAUAUAUUGUGCUGGCUGACCUGAGAGAAUUGGUCAGAGAGGACGUGGGUACUUCCUGCAUCCGAGCGCAUGGCUCUGGCCUGUAAGCGGGGCCAGCGGAGCUGAGAAGGGGAGGGGACCCCAGGCCCAGCUGUGUCUGGAGAACAGCAGCCCUGAUGUUUAUGACUAUGAUGGUCCUUCUCUAGUGGACCUGCUUUGGAACAUAAACAAACUUAAUAGGCUUC
RNAcentral lists this long non-coding RNA (5277 nucleotides) under Sus scrofa (pig). RNAcentral describes it as "lncRNA (ENSSSCG00000054522.1)". The record is from RNAcentral. Lineage: Eukaryota; Metazoa; Chordata; Mammalia; Artiodactyla; Suidae.